CGCGUAGGCGGCUAGAAAAGUCGGAUGUGAAAUUCCGGGGCUCAACCCCGGAGCUGCAUUUGAAACUCUCUAGCUAGAGUACAGUUAGGGUAAACGGAAUUCCACGUGUAGCGGUGAAAUGCGUAGAUAUGUGGAAGAACACCGGUGGUGAAGACGGUUUACUGGGCUGUAACUGACGCUGAGGCGCGAAAGCAUGGGGAGCAAACA
This 207-nucleotide ribosomal RNA is filed under the name uncultured bacterium. RNAcentral describes it as "partial 16S ribosomal RNA". It matches the Rfam family "Bacterial small subunit ribosomal RNA", at positions 568 to 774 of the family's 1533-position model. The record is from RNAcentral.